GAAAAUCUGAGGAAAGAGAUCACGACAGUUAUCGAUACCCUUCGUCUCAUCUGCCAUCUUGAAGAGAUCUCUGGUUAAGCUUCAGGUUUAUGGAUGGGCAAGGCCCUUGCAAAGUAGCUGGCACUUGAGUUCUUCGGUUGAGAAAUUGUUCUAGAGGCUCAUACAUGAUCUCACCUUUAGUGAUUGAUAGCAGAUCGUGAUCCAUGGGUGAGCACUCUGUCUCCAGGCUGUCAUGGAUCAUCUUAUUUGCUCUUGUCCAUCUUUCGGACAAUGAAACAUUCUUUAUUUAUUUUAUUUUUCUAUAUCACUUUAGAUAUGAUCAUUGUUAGUAGUUCUUGUACGAUGACUUUCGGGUCUAGAAAAUUUCAGUAAGUAGAUUGUGUGGUU
Capsicum annuum is the source of this 387-nucleotide long non-coding RNA. RefSeq lists it as uncharacterized. The record is from RefSeq and is a predicted model, not a curated record. The transcript has 3 exons. Lineage: Eukaryota; Viridiplantae; Streptophyta; Magnoliopsida; Solanales; Solanaceae.